Long non-coding RNA from Tupaia belangeri chinensis (Chinese tree shrew), 467 nucleotides. RefSeq lists it as uncharacterized. The record is from RefSeq and is a predicted model, not a curated record. The transcript is spliced from 4 exons. Lineage: Eukaryota; Metazoa; Chordata; Mammalia; Scandentia; Tupaiidae.
GUGAUUAACAACUUUCCUUCCUAACACACCAACUAGAAUCUCUACAAGCAGAGCUGUGCUUCCUUGGUGCCAUGUACAGAUUUUGGCACAACCUACACUCUCCAAAAAAAGAGCACAGCUUCAUAUCUACAUUAUCACCUCCGUUUUUUUAUCAAGUUCAGCCAGGAUUCUGCUCCUGAUCACUCCACUGAAUGUGCUCAAGCCCAAUCACCAAUGACCCCAAAUACAGUGAUCACUUCUCAGCUGACAACGUGCCAUUCUGUCAUCUGUGACUUAAGUCAGCAGGGCUUUCAUUGCCGUGCAUAACAAUUGGAAAAAAAAGGAAGUACAAAGGAACUAUACUAGGACACGUGACCUCCCAGUUUGUAACCGUGUCACCAUUAUAUUCAGAAUUACAGAAUGCGUAAUUAUAUUUCAACCACAUCUCUAUCAGGAAAAAACACAGCAGGACUUCUUGUGAUACUCUC